CCUACGGGAGGCUGCAGUGGGGAAUAUUGGUCAAUGGGCGCAAGCCUGACCCAGCCACGCCGCGUGAAUGAAGAAGGCUUUCGGGUUGUAAACUUCUUUUCUCAGGGACGAAGAAAGUGACGGUACCUGAUGAAUAAGCCACGGCUAACUACGUGCCAGCAGCCGCGGUAAUACGUAGGUGGCAAGCGUUAUCCGGAUUGAUUGGGUGUAAAGGGCGUGUAGGCGGGAGAGCAAGUCAGAUGUGAAAACUCAGGGCUCAACCCUGAGCCUGCAUUUGAAACUGUGAUUCUUGAGUGCUGGAGAGGCAAUCGGAAUUCCGGGUGUAGCGGUGAAAUGCGGAGAUAUACGGAGGAACACCAGUGGCGAAGGCGGAUUGCUGGACAGUAACUGACGCUGAGGCGCGAAAGCGUGGGGAGCAAACAGGAUUAGAUACCCUAGUAGUC
RNAcentral lists this ribosomal RNA (443 nucleotides) under uncultured bacterium. RNAcentral's name for it is "partial 16S ribosomal RNA". It matches the Rfam family "Bacterial small subunit ribosomal RNA", at positions 338 to 795 of the family's 1533-position model. The record is from RNAcentral.